Molecule: long non-coding RNA, 575 nt
Organism: Notolabrus celidotus (New Zealand spotty)
Lineage: Eukaryota; Metazoa; Chordata; Actinopteri; Labriformes; Labridae
Exons: 3
Source: RefSeq, a predicted model, not a curated record
UCGAUAAUUAAUCACUAAUGUGUUAUUUAUCUGCUAAAGUCUGUUUCUGUUUAAAUCUGUUGGACGUUUUCACUUCCUUAUUUCCAUCCCCGUUGCUGCCCUCAGUUUGACCUUACAGGUGCCUUAAAAAGUUGAAUUGUUAUUUGUCCUGAUUCCCUCCUGAAUUGUGUUCCUCUACCUGUGAGCAAACUCUACAAGCCGCCACACUCCAAGACUGGGUCAAAGGUGAAAAAGACAAUUCCAGGUCAGGAAUGCAGCUGCUCUCAGCGUGAAGUCAACUGCGUUAGAGUCUGUGCAUUCUCAACGCAGCCAGGAGUCUAAACCAUCAAUGAAGCAGACAAACCUUCAGGACUACACACACCUGAACGCCCCCAACGUAUCCACACAUUCCCUUUAACUGUCUUAAUUCUUAAAAAAGAGAUUCAUAUCUAGUUUAUGACCAAGCUCAUUAUGCAUGACCUUUGAAACAUUGUUUUGGUGUAACUAGAAUUUUUGCCCAAAUUUCAGCCUGAGAGAAUUGGACAACUAAGACGUGAAAAUAUCCUUAUUUAUGAUUCAUGAUUACUUAAAUAAAG